This 398-nucleotide long non-coding RNA is filed under the name Solanum tuberosum (potato). Its description in RNAcentral is "long non-coding RNA (STUB_LNC005675)". Lineage: Eukaryota; Viridiplantae; Streptophyta; Magnoliopsida; Solanales; Solanaceae. The record is from RNAcentral.
GACCUAGGAACAAGGAAAUAAAGUAUAUAUUUCUUAUAUGACUGUUACAGAACAGGUUAAGUUGUUGCCAAUUUUUUUUCCAACCCUUAACAAUGAAGAAAAAGAAGAGGGGGUUAUUUAUAGGCAAAAUUAGGGCACGGAAAAAACUUUGAGAAUUUUCGGAUAAGAACGGGGCCUCAUUCGAAUUCAAAAACUCCAAAUUUUCAGAAAAGCUCAACAAAUUCAGUAUGAAUAGGAUUUGGGAUUGACGACGUCGCUCACUCUGUAUGCUUUGCUGUUGGUUCAAGAAUAUCUUGAAUCGCUGUGUACGUUUCUGCUACCGUUUGAAGCUGCUGCAGUCGUUUGAUCGCUGUUAUGCUGAGGGAACUAUGUUUGGGCCGGAUUGGAGUUGGGUCGGC